UACGAAGGGUGCAAGCGUUACUCGGAAUUACUGGGCGUAAAGCGUGCGUAGGUGGUUUGUUAAGUCUGAUGUGAAAGCCCUGGGCUCAACCUGGGAAUGGCAUUGGAUACUGGCGAGCUAGAGUGCGGUAGAGGGUAGUGGAAUUCCCGGUGUAGCAGUGAAAUGCGUAGAGAUCGGGAGGAACAUCUGUGGCGAAGGCGACUACCUGGACCAGCACUGACACUGAGGCACGAAAGCGUGGGUAGCAAACAGG
Molecule: ribosomal RNA, 253 nt
Filed under: uncultured bacterium
Lineage: Bacteria
Description: partial 16S ribosomal RNA
Rfam family: Bacterial small subunit ribosomal RNA
Source: RNAcentral